GUGUUUAAGGAAAAAAUUGGACGUGGCACUCCAGUGCUGUAGUCUAGCUGACAUGGUCGUGGCCGAUGAUGGGCUGAAACAGGACGAUCCCAGAUGUCUUUCUCCGCCAAGUUCACUCCGUGUUCCUCUGGGUUCGUGCCGCCUUCGCUGAGAGCGGCGCGGCGGCGCUUGGCCCUGCCAGGCCGCCGUCGGGGGCGGGCCCGCGUCGCAGCCAUGGCGGCGCCCAUCGUUCCGGAGAGCGACAGCAUCCGCAGGGCCGUGUCGCUGCUCAACGCCGUGGACCCGGGCCGGUUUCCGCGGCUCCUCUCCCGCCUUCUCCAAAAGCUGCACCUGAAGGCUGAAAGUACCUUCAGUGAAGAGGAGGAAGAAAAACUUCAAAUAGCUUUUUCACUGGAAAAACAGGAUCUUCAUCUGGUUCUUGAAACUAUAUCAUUCAUUUUGGAACAGGCAGUCUACCACAAUUUGAAGCCUGCUUCACUGCAACAGCAGCUCCAAAGCAUUCACCUGGAUCAAGACAAAGCUGAAGCAUUUGCUAGUGCAUGGGCGGCUGCAGGUCAAGAGACAAUUGAAAAGUUCAGGCAGAGGGUUUUGACACCUCAGAAGCUUGAAACAGUUGGAUGGCAGCUUAAUCUUCAAAUGGCUGAGUCCAUGCAAGCAAAGCUGAAGUCUCCUCAAGCUGUGCUAGAGCUGGGAGUGAGCAAUGAAGAUUCAAAGCUUGAAGAAAAGGAGUACUACAAAGAAAGAGUGGAAUUGAUACGUGUUUUACUUCAGGCUAAGUAUUGAACCAUGAUCUAUGUAGUUGAUUGCAAGUUGAACUCUACCACAGGUAGUGAUGUUGGUCUUGCUGAAGAAGGACAUUAUGAAUUUUUUUCUGGUCAUGGGCUUGUGCUAAGUUAUUGAACAAUUGCUUUGGGUAGAAUAGCAGUAGAUCAGGGCACUUUGCUGGGUGUUUGUGUUGUUUGUAACAAAUUGUCAUUUUGCCUGUGCCAUAACUUCAUCUGAAAGCAAUAUAUUUUAUUUAAGCUGAGUAUUGAAGUGGUGUACAUAACGUACAUAUUCGGGUACCUUGAGGAAAGCACUGAGACUUGAAAAUUGCAGUGGAUAUGUAGCCAGUUUCAGAACAUUUUGUUGGAGUGUUUCAAAUAUAAGUUUUGGACAGAAAAAAUUGCACUUAGAAAAGAGAACAAAAAAAGGCAGUCUGUUGUAAGGCUGUCAUCUUGGGGUGCAGAUACAUAUUUUUAGGCAGCUGGUCUGAGAUUGUCCUGUAUAUAGAUAGCAACCAGUAGGUAGGGGAUAUUAAUAACUUGGACAGUUUUAACAGAUACUGUGAUCAGAUAAAGCUGUCUUGCGAUGGUAUUACACAGUUUUUAUGUCACUGAGAAAUUGAAGCACAUGGAAGAAACCACCAGAGGGUGAAUAUCACAGCUCCUGAUACCCUACAGAUCCAUACUGUGAUUUAAGUAAUUGUAAGUGCCUAGUUGGAUUACCAUAGGACAGAGCCCACAUAUAGCCUGUAUUUUUAACCUUGUGGUUCUUCAUCUUUUGUAAAUACUAAUCUUUUUAGUUGUAUUAUCUUGUAUUGGUAUUUUCAUGCUUUCUACCCACAGAUUCCAGAUGUGCUUUAGGAAUUUAGGAAACAAGCUACACAAAGAGUGAUUAGAUUUUCAAUGUCACAUUUGAUUUAGAAGUUUGCUAUAUUAUUUUAGCCAUUUUCCUUAAUCAUCAUCUCUUUUCAAAGACUGUACCUUUAAAAUAAAAUCCCUCUUCUUGCUCUGUUUCAAAACUGGUGGACAAAUGAUACAAUAGGAAAAUCACAUGUUGUCUUUUUGUAGCUCUUACACUAACAGGAAUGUCUUCCUCAGAUUAGCAGCAGAAGGAAAAAUGAUGAUGAAAAAGAAAACAACUGAUGGUGUUACUUUUGAAAGAACCUGAAGAAGGUGUUUGUAGAAUUUAGCCAUCAGGAGCUGUUUGAGUUUUACAACAAGCUCGAAACUAUACAAGCACAGCUGGAUUCCCUUAUGUGAUGUUUUUGAAGACUUAUUUCUCCAUCAUGCUCCUGCCACCUCAUUAUUUUGAAUUGAAGAUAGAUUGCCAAGCUGCAUUUCCUGAAGGAUUCAGCGGGUUGCUUCUUGUAAAAUUAUAUGGCUUAUCUGCUUUUCAGACCAGUACCAUUAGCCAAGAGUCUUUGUCGAGGGUCUGAAGAUUCUAAUGGACUUUCUCUUGUUUGCUUAGCAGCUGUGAAAAAUGUCUUCUUUACUUACAGUGGGGAAACACCCUGUCCGCACCCUCCCCCUGCCACCAAAGAAUGCUACUCUGCUUCAGAAAUUUUUUUUUUCAUUCUAUUAUGCGUGUUACUUGAUUCUGGUAGAAAUUUGCAUGUUAGUGAGAGACCAGGAAAAAACCCCUUUUUUGUGGACAUAAAUGUAGAAGUUAUAAGAAAAUACACAGCUAAUAAAAUCUCUAUCAUUUUAAAAUAAUGUUCACACAAUUGAUAAUGCUUCUUGCAGAUUUAAAAUAAAAUAAGUCAAAAUAAAUUCAGAAUUUUUAAAGUUUAUUUGGGGGCUAGUCAAACUUAAUUUUGCUAUCUUUAUUUUAUCUUAGUUUGAAAUUAUCAACAAUGUCUCUGAUUUCAGUGUUUCCUCUUGGCACUGAAAAUAAACAUGGCUUCUUAGCACUGCAUGCCCACUAAAGAAUCUAAGAAGUGUGUUGUAUAACUGAGGGGAGAAAUCUCAGAGUAUAAAAGAAAAAAAUACUGAAAUGAUCUGACAGAUUUCUGAAAGCUAUGUUGGUCCUUCCUCAUACUCUUUUUACCACCAGCAUUUUUACAUUGAACAGGAAAAACUGAAGUAUAGUGGUUAAAGGCCAACUUAGUCAUACUUUCACCCAUUAGUUCCAGAUGAUUCAUGAGAAGCAGGAGAAAGGUGAAAAUCAUCUUAGUACUUGUUCGUUGAUGUUUGUUGACAGGCAAUUUCUUCCUGCACGGUAUACGACUCUGGACUCUGGGCUUAUGGAAGGUGAGAGGAAAUUUAUCUGUUCAGAGAUUUAAGAACUUUUUCUUCCUGAUGCCUACAUCAGGGAUGGUUAAUACCCAACGGGACAGUUUCCUUCUGUAGCUUGUUUGCUUAUGACUGUGGAUAUGAGUAUUACCAAAAUGCAUGUUUUGAAUAGUUUAGGUCCUCCUGUGCCAGAUUUCCCCCUUUGUUGCUUUUUUGUGCCUUUUUGUUGCUUUGUUAUUAGGGAUUGUGCUGUCAACUCUAUAAUACUGUGAGGUUUGCACAAGUUGUCCAAGCUGAAAAUUAUUAGACUCAGAUGAUAACAGCCUAUGUAUGAGUAAAGGGCACUGGAGAGAAAACACACACUUACCAUAGUACAUAGCUCUUUAGGGAAGUGCCAAAUGAUACUCUACUGCUCUAGGACAGUAACGCUGUUACUGUAAAAGAAGAAGAAAGUCACCUGGAAGAAGAAAUGAGUCACCAUUGCCUGGCAGAAUAUCCUCAGCUAUCCACCAUAGCUUGUGAGGCUGGCUGCCAAAAUCAUGUCUUGUCAUAAGCCCCUGCCACACGUGCUGUAUUGUCUGGAGAUACAGAUGUCACCUCUACAGUCUGGCUGUUCAACAAGAGCUUGGCAGCUUGCUCAUCUCACUCUGCAUGGACUGGUGUGGGUCUGCAGGUGGACACAUGCCUACCAUUCCCUCUGCUUGCUGACAGUAGCAGUGCUUUGUAGUUAGUGCAGCUGAGGGAAUCCCCUUCUGCAUGAUGUGUAUUCUCUACCAGUCCUGUGGCACAGUAUGCUUUGUGCAAGAACACUGCCCUUCAGACUUUUCAUGGAGUUUUCAGAGCUUAUGUUCUGGAAGUCAGGUCUGAAGUGAGUUCAGACCUUCUUGUGUAGAUACAGGGCAUGCUAAGGCAGUUGUGUGAGGAAUUUAACUUUGUGAAUGUAGGCAGUGAUUGAUGAAUCCUGGAGGAGGAGGUGAAGGCUGGACUAGUUUGGAGAGCAAGAGCCAUGGACAGAUCAGCAAGCACAUCUUAGAAAAAGAAGUCAGAGUCGGUAGAAGUGGGGCACAAGAGAAACGAAGGAGAGGGUAGAGAAAUAGAUAUUCCCAAGGAUGGAAUUUGGGUGUUGGAAAAUACCAGGAAGAGAGCAGAAACACUGGAAAAGAUGACAAAAGUGUAUAUACAAAGAAAAUAUGAAGCAGAGGAGGAGAUAACCUUAUAGAAGAGUGAGAGUAGGGGAAUCAGAGUAAACCCAAAUUAGCAAUGGAAACUAGCCAGUUGUAUAACUGCAUCUAGUAUUUCAAACUAACCCAUAAGUGCCAACCUUGGUGCAAAGUUGACCAAGAUCAAAAUAUGGGAUAAUGAAAUAUACAUUUUAAAUGUAGCUUUAAUAGUAAAUAUUUUAAAAAAUUAUAAAAUUAUAUUGAAAGGGAAGAAAAAGCCUAAGACUGCAAUAAUUUUGUAAAAUACAUUUUAUGUUUAUCCUUGCUUGCAAAUGACUGAAAAUAUUUACAGUUUCUUUACAGUGGCUGCCUUUUAGUUUUUUACUAACUGUACUGAAUUCUUAGUGUCAAAAGCUUUAUUGUAAGAAGUACAUUGGUUACCUUUAGUCAAGGACUGCUGAGAAAUAAACAUUUAGUUUAAAAAGA
Molecule: RNA transcript, 4642 nt
Organism: Serinus canaria (Common canary)
Lineage: Eukaryota; Metazoa; Chordata; Aves; Passeriformes; Fringillidae
Gene: COMMD10
Gene name: COMM domain containing 10
Exons: 8
Source: RefSeq, a predicted model, not a curated record